AAUGUGGCCCAUAUUUUAUACAAGCCACAGCUACUAAAUUAUGAUUUAAACUUAAUAGUAUUGUAGCCUAUAAUAGAGCUCUAGAUAAGAGCU
Molecule: ribosomal RNA, 93 nt
Filed under: Anaxyrus americanus (American toad)
Lineage: Eukaryota; Metazoa; Chordata; Amphibia; Anura; Bufonidae
Description: partial 16S large ribosomal RNA
Source: RNAcentral